Molecule: ribosomal RNA, 399 nt
Filed under: uncultured Lactobacillus sp.
Lineage: Bacteria; Bacillati; Bacillota; Bacilli; Lactobacillales; Lactobacillaceae
Description: bacterial SSU rRNA
Rfam family: Bacterial small subunit ribosomal RNA
Source: RNAcentral
AAACUAACAGAUUUACUUCGGUAAUGACGUUAGGAAAGCGAGCGGCGGAUGGGUGAGUAACACGUGGGGAACCUGCCCCAUAGUCUGGGAUACCACUUGGAAACAGGUGCUAAUACCGGAUAAGAAAGCAGAUCGCAUGAUCAGCUUUUAAAAGGCGGCGUAAGCUAUCGCUAUGGGAUGGCCCCGCGGUGCAUUAGCUAGUUGGUAAGGUAAGGGCUUACCAAGGCGAUGAUGCAUAGCCGAGUUGAGAGACUGAUCGGCCACAUUGGGACUGAGACACGGCCCAAACUCCUACGGGAGGCAGCAGUAGGGAAUCUUCCACAAUGGACGCAAGUCUGAUGGAGCAACGCCGCGUGAGUGAAGAAGGUUUUCGGAUCGUAAAGCUCUGUUGUUGGUGAA